CCAUCGAUAUCACCGAAUCAUUAAAAAGCCAUGUCAACAACUAAACAAAAGUGUGAUCAACCAUUAAAAAAGAUUCUACAACCUAGACAAAGUAGGACCGUCUAAAUCCUCUCUGUCUUCUUCCCUUUUGCUAUCUGCUGUCCACUCAUAGAUUGUGACAUCGCCAUGUCUCGGAGACCAUUGCCCUUUGCAAGGCACAUUGAAGCCAAGGUCCUCGUUGUCGUCGUUCUGCCUCUUUGACAAUGGGGCCUUGAUCAACUCCACGGUCAUCUUCUCGAGUGCAGGCGCGCCUGUGAUCAUAAGCUGCACGAGGCUCCGGUGGUAGCUUGAUGAUCGAAAUCCGGUGAUCUUUGCCUCUCGGAGGUGUUCCAGAGAGAUAGUUGGGUCAUCUUCCUGGUUGCAGAGGCAACCAGAUCUUAAGCAUGAAUCGUUCUGCAAAUAGGAUCAAGACAAACAAAAGUGCUAAGGGCUGGGUUUGGUGGACGAAAAACUUAAGAUAGUUCAUAUAUAAAUGUUAUAUUUCUCAUGUAUAUCCCUCCUGUAAUCUUGCCGCAGACUCGAUGUCAAUGGAGAGGCAUUGAACUCUGCUACAUUUUGCGACAAGCCUGGCUAUGGUCGCUUUAAGUUCGUGCCACCGUCCGGCAUCCACAUUGAUGGUCAAGUUGGUGAUGUUGUGAAGAAGUGGUACACAGUUCAUCAUCUCCUUUAAGUCCUUAUCCUCUAUUCUCCGGCAUGAUGUCU
Molecule: long non-coding RNA, 741 nt
Filed under: Setaria italica (foxtail millet)
Lineage: Eukaryota; Viridiplantae; Streptophyta; Magnoliopsida; Poales; Poaceae
Description: long non-coding RNA (SITA_LNC002534)
Source: RNAcentral